GACGAACGCUGGCGGCGUGCUUAACACAUGCAAGUCGAACGAAGAGCGAUGGAAGCUUGCUUCUAUCAAUCUUAGUGGCGAACGGGUGAGUAACGCGUAAUCAACCUGCCCUUCAGAGGGGGACAACAGUUGGAAACGACUGCUAAUACCGCAUACGAUCUAAUCUCGGCAUCGAGGAUAGAUGAAAGGUGGCCUCUACAUGUAAGCUAUCACUGAAGGAGGGGAUUGCGUCUGAUUAGCUAGUUGGAGGGGUAACGGCCCACCAAGGCGAUGAUCAGUAGCCGGUCUGAGAGGAUGAACGGCCACAUUGGGACUGAGACACGGCCCAGACUCCUACGGGAGGCAGCAGUGGGGAAUCUUCCGCAGUGGACGAAAGUCUGACGGAGCAACGCCGCGUGAGUGAUGACGGCCUUCGGGUUGUAAAGCUCUGUUAAUCGGGACGAAAGGCCUUCUUGCGAAUAGUGAGAAGGAUUGACGGUACCGGAAUAGAAAGCCACGGCUAACUACGU
RNAcentral lists this ribosomal RNA (509 nucleotides) under uncultured bacterium. Its description in RNAcentral is "partial 16S ribosomal RNA". It matches the Rfam family "Bacterial small subunit ribosomal RNA", at positions 28 to 506 of the family's 1533-position model. The record is from RNAcentral.